RNAcentral lists this ribosomal RNA (596 nucleotides) under Pteridomonas danica. RNAcentral describes it as "partial Bacterial large subunit ribosomal RNA". It matches the Rfam family "Bacterial large subunit ribosomal RNA", at positions 523 to 1128 of the family's 2925-position model. Lineage: Eukaryota; Dictyochophyceae; Pedinellales. The record is from RNAcentral.
ACCCCGGGAGGGGAGUGAAAUAGAUCCUGAAACCGCAUGCAUACAAAAAGUCGGAGCCGCAAGGUGACGGCGUACCUUUUGUAUAAUGGGUCAGCGAGUUACUUUGACGAGCAAGCCUAAGCCGUUAGGCGUAAGCGAAGCGAAAGCGAGUCUGAAUAGGGCGUUUAGUUCGUUUGAGUAGACCCGAAACCGGGUGAUCUAGCCAUGGGCAGGUUGAAGGUACGGUAACACGUACUGAAGGACCGAACCCACGUCUGUUGAAAAAGACGGGGAUGACCUGUGGCUAGGGGUGAAAGGCCAAUCAAACCCGGAGAUAGCUGGUUCUCUGCGAAAACUAUUUAGGUAGUGCGUCGUGUAUUACCGUCGGGGGUAGAGCACUGGAUGGGCUAGGGGGGCGCGAGCCUUACCAAACCUAACCAAACUCCGAAUACCGGCGAGUACAGCACGGCAGACAGACUAUGGGUGCUAAGGUCCAUAGUCGAGAGGGAAACAGCCCAGACCUCCAGCUAAGGUCCCUAAAUUGUGGCUAAGUGGGAAAGGAUGUGGGAAGGCCAAGACAGCCAGGAGGUUGGCUUAGAAGCAGCCAUCCUUUAAAG